AUGGUUUGCGGGAAAACUCUUCUCUCUCUGGUCUCACUUCGAGUCCUUCUAGAAGUAAAUAAAGGAAAUGCUUAUUCAACUACGGCACUGUCGGACAACCGACCGGAUUCAAGCCCUAGCCCCUCAACUCGGACGGACUUGUGGAAAUCCUCGAAAACAAGUAUUUCUCAACUCACCUAUCUAUAA
This 186-nucleotide ribosomal RNA is filed under the name Triticum aestivum (bread wheat). RNAcentral describes it as "partial small subunit ribosomal RNA". Lineage: Eukaryota; Viridiplantae; Streptophyta; Magnoliopsida; Poales; Poaceae. The record is from RNAcentral.